This 261-nucleotide long non-coding RNA is filed under the name Brassica napus (rape). RNAcentral describes it as "long non-coding RNA (BNAP_LNC011447)". The record is from RNAcentral. Lineage: Eukaryota; Viridiplantae; Streptophyta; Magnoliopsida; Brassicales; Brassicaceae.
UUAUUGUUAGCACGAGUGAAAUCAAUUCUCAGAAUGUUUAGAGAAUUUAGUUAAUUGGAUAACUUCUAUUUUACUUUAGUGGCAAAGUAUGAGUUGAACAUUUUUUUUUUUGUUUAACCAGGUGUUGGUCUUGCGGCCCACCACUUAAGCCCGGCGCCACCCUUUGUCUGUACCUUUUUACGGGUCCUGGACACGCCUCUCCUUCUACGCGAGUCGAACAGCCGACCUCCUCUCUCCAAAGAGGUAGUACCACUGGACUAG